GCGCGGGUGGUGGAACGGUAUACACGUAUGUUUAAGGAACAUAUGGCGCAAGCUGUGCAGGUUCGAUUCCUGUCCCGCGCA
Molecule: transfer RNA, 81 nt
Filed under: bacterium
Lineage: Bacteria
Also listed under: 1 other name
Description: tRNA-Leu
Rfam family: tRNA
About the family: Transfer RNA (tRNA) molecules are approximately 80 nucleotides in length. Their secondary structure includes four short double-helical elements and three loops (D, anti-codon, and T loops). Further hydrogen bonds mediate the characteristic L-shaped molecular structure. tRNAs have two regions of fundamental functional importance: the anti-codon, which is responsible for specific mRNA codon recognition, and the 3' end, to which the tRNAs corresponding amino acid is attached (by aminoacyl-tRNA synthetases). tRNAs cope with the degeneracy of the genetic code in two manners: having more than one tRNA (with a specific anti-codon) for a particular amino acid; and 'wobble' base-pairing, i.e. permitting non-standard base-pairing at the 3rd anti-codon position.
Source: RNAcentral